CAGAGAGUAGUUAAAACAGAAUACUAGCUUUGGGAGCCAGCGGUGGGAGUUCGAAUCUCUCCUUUCUGA
Molecule: transfer RNA, 69 nt
Filed under: Desmodema polystictum (polka-dot ribbonfish)
Lineage: Eukaryota; Metazoa; Chordata; Actinopteri; Lampriformes; Trachipteridae
Description: tRNA-Pro
Rfam family: tRNA
About the family: Transfer RNA (tRNA) molecules are approximately 80 nucleotides in length.
Source: RNAcentral